UACGUAGGUGGCAAGCGUUGUCCGGAUUUACUGGGUGUAAAGGGCGUGUAGGCGGGAUAGCAAGUCAGAUGUGAAAUUCCGGGGCUUAACCCCGGCGCUGCAUCUGAAACUGUUAUUCUUGAGUGUCGGAGAGGAAAGUGGAAGUCCCAGUGUAGCGGUGAAAUGCGUAGAGAUUGGGAGGAACACCAGUGGCGAAGGCGGCUUUCUGGACGAUAACUGACGCUGAGGCGCGAAAGCGUGGGGAGCAAACAGG
RNAcentral lists this ribosomal RNA (253 nucleotides) under uncultured bacterium. RNAcentral's name for it is "partial 16S ribosomal RNA". It matches the Rfam family "Bacterial small subunit ribosomal RNA", at positions 524 to 776 of the family's 1533-position model. The record is from RNAcentral.